CUAAAUCAGACUUAUCUGUUCGAAACCUUUUUCCCCUCCAAUUUGAACUUACUCUGCAACUCUCCCCUACUGUAACCCAUCCAUGCAAUCCUCUCUAGAUCUUCCUUCCUCCAGUAUUCGUCUGCUUUAUCUAUCUCUUCCUCUUUCUCUUUCACAUACCUUUAGACACACCUUUUCGCUCUCCGUCCAACCUCUCCAAGCUGCUGAGUUCUCAUUUUCUGGCAAAUAUAUCCUACUAAUUUACUCCCAAUAAUUCAAAUGGAGCCUUAGCUUGCCAGCUGACUUCGGUCUGCAAAGAGGACACUGCACUUGUUUGAGGUAUGUGAAAUUGAAUUCCUGGAAAUGGGUCGAGAUGGAAUUUUGGUUCCGGUGGAGUCCCUGAAGAAGAAGACUGCGGUUUCCAGGAGCUGGAUUUUGCUGGAUCACAACGGGCAGAGUACCAUUCUUGAUGUGGACAAGUACGCUAUCAUGCGUAGAGUCCAGAUUCACGCCAGAGAUCUUCGAAUCCUUGAUCCUCUUUUAUCAUAUCCUUCAGCGAUCUUGGGCAGAGAAGGAGUUAUUGUUCUCAAUUUGGAGCAUAUCAAAGCAAUAAUCACAGCAGAGGAGGUAUUGCUUAGAGACCCAUUGGACGAUAAUGUAAUCCCUGUUGUUGAGGAACUUCAAAGACGAUUACCUUUUGUAAAUGUUACGAGCGAAAUACAAGGCGAAGAGGAAGAGCAUCCUGGGGUGCCAAAAGAUUUUGAUACAGGGGAAGAAAAUGAAUUUCCAUUUGAAUUCCGAGCAUUAGAAGUUGCAUUAGAAGCCAUUUGUAGUUUUCUAGAUGCGCGUACUCGAGAACUGGAGACCGAUGCUUAUCCUGCUUUAGAUGAGCUGACCUCCAAGAUUAGCAGUCGUAAUCUCGAUCGGGUGCGUAAACUGAAGAGUUCCAUGACAAGGUUGACAAAUCGUGUUCAAAAGGUAAGGGAUGAACUUGAGCAACUUCUGGAUGAUGAUGAUGAUAUGGCAGACCUUUACUUAUCAAGAAAAUUAGCUGGCUUAUCUUCACCUGUCAGUGGCUCUGGUGCCCCCAAUUGGUUUCUUAACUCUCCUACCAUAGGUUCAAAGAUAUCCAGAACAAGUAGGGCCAGUGCAACAACAAUGCAAGGGGAGAACGAUGUUGAAGACCUUGAAAUGUUGCUUGAGGCUUACUUCAUGCAGAUAGAUGGCACAUUGAACAAAUUGACUACGUUGCGUGAAUACAUUGACGACACAGAGGACUACAUCAAUAUCCAGGUACAGAGUUGGACAACUUGAAUAGAGAGUCAUUCCUGUAGGAUAUUUUUGAAAGUUUAGGAAUACGUCUUGUAUUUCUGUCAAUUGAAUUUGUAGUUUCUGUUAGUUAUAUUAUCAAAAUCCUCCAAGGCAAUUUAACAAUGGCUUUAAUUCAAUGGUAGUGGAGUCAUUUUCAAGCUAUGAAGUUUCAAAGUCGAAUCUUUGUGGGAGUCGAAUGAAAAAAAAAAAAAAAUCCUCCAGGGCAAUUUGACACUAAAAAUAUGCAUUUUUUUUGUUUGCUACAGCUUGAUAAUCAUAGGAAUCAACUAAUUCAGGUGCGCUUGCUGAAUCUAUAUGUAUAUUUGAUUUCCUUCUUUUUUGUUAGGCGUUGAUUUCUCUCAUCUCCUUAUUUAGAUAAUUAUAUUUUUUUACGUUUGCUGUUUGAGCUAGUCCAGAAUAUCUUAAAUUAAUUUUGCUUGGAACAAUUUCAUCUGCACAACAUUGAUUAAUCAUUUUUAUUUAUUACUGUGGCAGCUAGAGCUCUUACUAUGUUCAGGGACUGUGUGUUUGUCUGUGUAUUCCCUAGUGGCAGCAAUUUUUGGCAUGAAUUUACAAUACACAUGGAGGGAGGGCCAUAGUUACGUAUUUAAAUGGGUAUGUGUAGUAAUCACCUUAAAACCAAAAGAAUAUUACAUAAACUGAAAAAAUAAACCAAUAUUUUUUUAAUUUGCUAAAGAUCCUGAAUCAUACCGACUUGGAAGAGUUUAUUUUUCUCACACCCUAUUCUUUUUGCCUCCAACAUUAGGUGGUCAUCCUCACAGCCAUAAUUUGUGCAAGUAUUUUCACAUCAAUAAUUUCAUAUGCUCGGCACAAAGGUCUUGUUGGGUCUUGAUUCCUGAAUGAAUACAUUACAUGUACAAAAAACCAGCUAGAAGGAGAUGCAGAAUAAAGCUUGAAAUAGUACUUCCAAGUCCUUUACUUUUGGUGGCUUUAGGAACAUGUUCAACGACUCGAUCAUCAAUUCCGGUGCGAAACCCAAAUAAGUAAAAUGCUAUGUCUAUCAUUGGUAUGUAGAAAAUAUUGGAUCGAUCAUGGGUUAGGUGGUCAUGUCGUUAGUCAUUGAAUUUAGCUAGAAAGUGGGUGCCAUAGAGGCAUUAAUUUGUUAGCUAGUACUGGGUUAAUAAAAACAUGUAUAGUGAGAUUGGCCUUUAGUUGUAACUAAAAUCCAGGACCAGGAGAGAUAUUAUUGUUGUGUGAAGAACAGGUGAGAUCGAAUUCAUGAUUUGUGUCCCAGUGCAUUUGACAUUAACAAGCAAUGUGGGCUACUGCUGGGGCCGAUUCAAUUUGCUUCCAGGGGUUAGGGUUAGACCUCCCCUGUGAAAGCACUACUCUUGAAAAAGAGGAGCACGCAGCCAUUGAUUGCUUUUGCUAGCUGAUCAUAUGAAGCAAUGUGAAUUCCAUUUUCACAUACAUAUUAUAUAUUAGUUAUUAUAUAUUAAAUUUUUCGACAUGAGUAAUAAUUUCACUGGUGAAAUCAAUGAGGUCAAAAUUAAUAUUUUUAUAUGAAAUAUAAUAAAUUAAAAUGUCGAACUAGUUAAUAAAUGAGUUUUUUUUUAAAUUUUAUUUAUUAUAGUUUGAAUUAUGAGUUUGAUUACAUUUACAAAUGAUUAUAAAUCUAUAAAAUUAGGGGUGUGAAUGGUUUAAUAUUAAUUUAUAAUAAAAUAAAAAUGAAAAUAUAAUACCAUUUUAGCUGAAUUCUCUUGCAUUAUGUAUUUUUCCAGACCCAUGAUGCUAUUAGCCAUGUGGGACGUGAGAUCAGCAGGGUGCCAAGUUGAUAUAUGUAUAUCCUCAAAUGUUCCACGCUAUAUUUUAGUAUCCAAGAAGGUCCACGUGAAGCGUGAGAUCAGCAGGCAGCUUGUAACAGAGUAAAUUUAUCCUCCUGCUGUGCUUCAUUUCUCAUGAAAAUUACAAUUAAGUACUUUUAUUUUUAGUCCAAGUAGCUUAACAACUAAUCUUAG
Molecule: unclassified non-coding RNA, 3269 nt
Filed under: Hevea brasiliensis (rubber tree)
Lineage: Eukaryota; Viridiplantae; Streptophyta; Magnoliopsida; Malpighiales; Euphorbiaceae
Source: RNAcentral